Long non-coding RNA from Manduca sexta (tobacco hornworm), 463 nucleotides. RefSeq lists it as uncharacterized. NCBI's taxonomy places the organism in Eukaryota, Metazoa, Arthropoda, Insecta, Lepidoptera, Sphingidae. The transcript has 3 exons. The record is from RefSeq and is a predicted model, not a curated record.
GUUCGCAACACUGGGACGGCGCGCGCGCUCCGUGUUUCCAAGCAGAGAUUACUCUGUGGAUUACUCAUGUCCGCCGGUUUUUUUGCGCAGUAAUUAUGUGUUUAUUAGUGUUAUAAUACAUUUAAAGGUUUUAUGGUGACAUGUGUAUGGUGCAGCGACUUAUUACAAUAUAUAAUUUGUAAAAGAUGGCGCCACCAAAAUACAUAGUCGUUAAGUUUUUGGAUAAGAAAGAUGGAGAUAACUUCGCAUUCGUGCCCGAGUCGUGGGUGGAAGCAGAUCGGCCCACAGACAACACAAUAGUAAUUUAUUAUCCUACUGAAGAUAAAAUAGCAACAGAAAAUCGCGUUAAAAACAACGAGCAACCGAGGGCCGAUUGGAACCAAUAUUUGUGCGAACUGCUACAUACGACCAAUCACUACGGCGACGCGAAAAUAGACACUAUGAAAAAAAAUUUAGAGGCAAA